Stylophora pistillata is the source of this 1080-nucleotide long non-coding RNA. Lineage: Eukaryota; Metazoa; Cnidaria; Anthozoa; Scleractinia; Pocilloporidae. The record is from RefSeq and is a predicted model, not a curated record.
GGAGCACUGAAGAUCAUCAGCUUAUCUCUCAAAAUGAAACUGGACUGGUUCCAGGUCACUACUUGUGGGUGAAUGGUGCAUCUGUAUUAUCUAAUGCAAUCAGUGAGAACCAAAAAACUCGUUUUAAGAUCCACGCUGUCCAGGAGGUUGACGCAAAUGGAAAAGCUCAUCAAGUUGUCAUUUUAGAGAAUAAAAGUGGAAGCGUUGUGGCAAUAAACAAGGACAAUGACACUGUCAUUGCCAAGGAUCUUCCUAAACCUCCAAGCCAAUACAACAAUCUUGAACAAGUUAGAGAAGACAGUCCAGAGGUGCUGUUCUACAAGGUGGCAAGGGAACCUGGCAGUGAGCUGUUUUACUUCAAGUCUUAUCUCAAAGAUAAACGACGCAUCCUCGGUUUUGAUCAAUCUGGAGAACCUUUAAACACAUCUCAAGUAGAUUCAAAUGGGGAGGAAAGUUGGUUUUCGGUGAUAUAAAAUCUCUUGUAAGUGCAAAAUUAAAGUUACAGUUAAGAGAUAUUUUCUAAACAGUAAAUUCCUGUGAGGAAAUUGUUUUGCUUAUUUUAAGCUGUCAUAUCCAGGGUCAGUUUGACCACAAAGCUCAUGAACUUUAGUAUAUAGUAACACAUAGAUUUUAAUGUCUGUUUUAGGAUAGAAUAACUAUUGAUUGAAAAUGUAAUUUUAUACAUCUUGGGAAAAUAUUUUUUCAUAAAACAAGAAUUAAAAUUAGGGAAUGUUUUGCUAAAUAUGUUAUAAUGAAUAUCACUUUGAUGCCAAAGUAACUUAAAAAAAAUAUAUAUUUAAAGAUGAAUUUUUGAGAAAAGUGACCGAUUUUGAGCUAUUAGUGAAUUACAGUUUAUAAUUAAUUUGAGAUAUGUCAUAUUCUUGUAAUAAACUAUCAAAAUACUUAACUAUAGAUUUUUCAUUUUGGUACUGAUUCUCUGCAAAAGCUAGAAAAGGUUACUGGACUAUUUUAAAAAUAGAAAAACCUCUGAUCAGUUUCUGUAAGACAUGCAUGCAGUUGUGAACAUGUUGGUAAAAAUCUUGAAACAAAAAGAUCUUUGAUAAAUCAAUUUAUGAUUUA